CUUGGUCAUUUAGAGGAAGUAAAAGUCGUAACAAGGUUUCCGUAGGUGAACCUGCGGAAGGAUCAUUAAUGAAACAAACCGGGGGCGGUGGGGCGCGGCCUCGCACCAACGAACACCCCCUAGCCCCGGCUCGCCCCCACCCCUCAUCCGAAACCCACAAACCUGUGCACCAAAGGGACGGCGGGUGGAUAACGGACGCCGUCUCGAUUUAACAAGCUCAAAAGUCUAUUUUGAAUGUCAUUUAUUGGGGCUAGACCCGAUGAAACAUAAACGUAAUUACUUUCAACAACGGAUCUCUUGGCUCUCGCAUCGAUGAAGAACGCUGCGAAAUGCGAUAAGUUCUGUGAAUUGUAUAAUUCAGUGUAUCAUCCAAUCUUUGAACUCACCUUGCGCCCGGUGUCAUUCCGAUGGGCAUGCCUGUUUGAGUGUAUUGAAAUCAUCGAGGCCGUUCGGUUUCACAGCCUAACGGGGUUGGACUUGGGGGUAUGCCUCUUUGCAUCGGCUCCCCUCACCGCGUCGGUUUCCGGGCUCUGUGGGAGUCACCCCUUGGGCGUCGUAUAACCCUCGUUGUCAGGGAGCUCCGCGCGACGUCUGAAUCGUUGGACGAACUUGGAUAAUCCUCAACAUGCUGUAUUUGGCGGUCAAUGUUCCGUCGAGACCUGACCUCAACUCAAGUGGGACUACCCGCUGAAGCUUACCCUAUCAAUUCCACGGAGGA
RNAcentral lists this ribosomal RNA (718 nucleotides) under uncultured Basidiomycota. RNAcentral describes it as "eukaryotic LSU rRNA". The stretch from base 278 to 431 matches the Rfam family "5.8S ribosomal RNA". The record is from RNAcentral. Lineage: Eukaryota; Fungi; Basidiomycota.